GAUGAACGUUGGCGGUGUGCCUAAUACAUGCAAGUCGAACGGAGUCAGUAGCAAUAUUGGCUCAGUGGCGAACGGGUGAGUAACGCGUUGGUGAUCUGCCUUGAAGUGUGGAAUAACGUUUCGAAAGAGACGCUAAUACCGCAUGUGCUCUCGAUUUUCAGAAAGUUGAGAGUAAAGGAUUUAUUCGCUUCAAGAGGAGCCUGCGUCCCAUCAGCUGGUUGGUAGGGUAACGGCCUACCAAGGCUAUGACGGGUAGGGGACCUGAGAGGGUGGCCCCCCACAAUGGAACUGAAACACGGUCCAUACACCUACGGGUGGCAGCAGUAGGGAAUAUUAGAAAUGGACGAAAGUCUGAUCUAGCAACACCGCGUGUGCGAAGAAGGCC
This 385-nucleotide ribosomal RNA is filed under the name uncultured bacterium. RNAcentral describes it as "bacterial SSU rRNA". It matches the Rfam family "Bacterial small subunit ribosomal RNA", at positions 28 to 416 of the family's 1533-position model. The record is from RNAcentral.